CAAAACUCAACGUUGGAAAUUAUUUGGCCGGAGUUUAUGGCCACAGUGGCUGUGUUCGUCGGAAUAGUGAGAGAGAGCGAACGGAGUUGCUGUGUCGGCUGAAGCAGAGGAGUCGAUACUCGCCUGAGCUGCAGCGCUCACUGGAGUCACGGCGAGGAGGCGCGACGUCGAGCGGUGGCGACUGGAGAGAGAUCGCUGCUCAGUCGUUGGUGCUGCUGAGUUCCGUGAGAACGAAUGCGAAAGAGAGAGAGACCGAGAGGUGGUGGUGGCAUGCGAUGAAAGCUCGUCGAGCCUGUCUCAGGUAGUCGGAGAGAGACAGAGAGAGA
This 326-nucleotide long non-coding RNA is filed under the name Jatropha curcas. RNAcentral describes it as "long non-coding RNA (JCUR_LNC002987)". The record is from RNAcentral. Lineage: Eukaryota; Viridiplantae; Streptophyta; Magnoliopsida; Malpighiales; Euphorbiaceae.